GACGAACGCUGGCGGCGUGCUUAACACAUGCAAGUCGAACGGAAAGGCCCUGCUUUUGUGGGGUGCUCGAGUGGCGAACGGGUGAGUAACACGUGAGUAACCUGCCCUUGACUUUGGGAUAACUUCAGGAAACUGUGGCUAAUACCGGAUAGUAGCUCCUGCUGCAUGGUGGGGGUUGGAAAGUUUCGGCGGUUGGGGAUGGACUCGCGGCUUAUCAGCUUGUUGGUGGGGUAGUGGCUUACCAAGGCUUUGACGGGUAGCCGGCCUGAGAGGGUGACCGGCCACAUUGGGACUGAGAUACGGCCCAGACUCCUACGGGAGGCAGCAGUGGGGAAUAUUGCACAAUGGGCGGAAGCCUGAUGCAGCAACGCCGCGUGCGGGAUGACGGCCUUCGGGUUGUAAACCGCUUUCGCCUGUGACGAAGCGUGAGUGACGGUAAUGGGUAAAGAAGCACCGGCUAACUACGUG
This 468-nucleotide ribosomal RNA is filed under the name uncultured bacterium. Its description in RNAcentral is "partial 16S ribosomal RNA". It matches the Rfam family "Bacterial small subunit ribosomal RNA", at positions 28 to 507 of the family's 1533-position model. The record is from RNAcentral.